Long non-coding RNA from Gasterosteus aculeatus aculeatus (three-spined stickleback), 3736 nucleotides. NCBI's taxonomy places the organism in Eukaryota, Metazoa, Chordata, Actinopteri, Perciformes, Gasterosteidae. The record is from Ensembl.
AGAGCUCGCGAAAGAAGGUGGAACGUAAGGGAGACACCAUUUCCAAAACAGGUAAGGCCGUAACAACUAGUUUGUGAAAGACCCAGAGAAACACAAAUAUACGACGAAGCAAAAUCCCGGACGUUUAUGGAAUCUCUGCCGGACGCAUUUUUUAGGUCUCAAAAAGAGGACAUGUCCGGAGAAAAGAGGACGUUUUGUCACCCUAAUGAAACAGUCUGAUAACUCUGUCCUCGCAGCAGCUAACGAUGGCUCACCGCUUGUGUAGCUACAGCAGCUAGCUAGCCAUCUGCCUUCUAUUCGUAUUUAUUUUUCUACACAAUAGAAAAGCGAUGUGCUCUCGUGCCUCAUGCAGCUCUUCUGUGUUGCACGUCAAUACUUUGAGACAAACAAGGAGCGUCAAUCUAACGUAAAUGCUUUUCAAUAAAUGUCUUUAGUUCCUGCACAAUGAACAUGAAUCUCAAAUUAAAUGAUUAAUAUUCCCCAAAUUCAAAUUAACUACACUUCCGCUGUUACAGAGGGGAAACACUGUAAUCAUACUGUAAACUUUCAAAAGUUCAUAUAUUGUGCAUAGUUUGAAGUGAAAAAAACCCUUUCUUCAAUUGUGUUUGGGUUCAGGCUCUGUUUAGGAUCGGUAUUGGAAAAACCCAAACGAUACUCAUCCCUACUCUCACGUGACAUGUCUGCGCGCUCAACGUGAAGCUAAAGCCAGCCGCUGGUUAGCUUAGCAUGAAGACUGGAGACAAGAGGGCUCGAAAGGGAUGUUUAAAAAUCCGGAUUCAACAGUUUACAAAUUUCCGACUUGAUGAAACAAUAGACAAAAAAAAAAAGUGUUUGCUUUCAAGAUCAAGAUGGGGUCAUAGAAAAAAACAAGUAGAGCAAAGUGUUUUAUGCACCAUGUGAAGUGGAUGAGCUCCAUCAAUACAAUACACUGUCCACACACACACAUUUACUCUAAAGGCUCAGUUGCAUAUUGUAGAUACCUUCACUGUAACCAUAGAGACGUUACAUCAUGAUGGAACAUUUCUCCACGUUCCAUGUUCCAUGUUCAUGUUCUAUGCUCCGUUCACCACAGCAUAAGAACACAGUCUGUUGCACAUCCAGUCAGUCAGUUUCAAACCUCGCAUCUACACACUGAAGUUUUCCGGACCUACACUUGCAGAAAGCAACCAUGUAAUGCCUCAGGAGUCUGUGGAGGGGACGAAGACGCGUUCUGCUGCACUUAACAGAGCUCAAGACCAACGGGACGCCAUCAGACGCCACGUCAACCCCUCAGGAGCAAAUCCAGAUCUACGCAUGACAUACACUUAGAUACACUUUAUUAGAUGUACACAAAGACAUAACAAUUAGAUGUACACACAGACACUAACAAUUAGAUCCACACACAGACACACUAACAAUUAGAUGUACACACAGACACACUAACAUUUGGUUCUAAACAAAGACACACACUAACAUUUAGAUGUACACAAAGACACAUUAAUAUUUAGAUGUACACACAGACACACUAACAAUUAGAUCUACACACAGACACACUAACAAUUAGAUGUACACACGGACACACUAACAAUUAGAUCUACACACAGACACACUAACAAUUAGAUGUACACACUGACACGUGCUGAUGACCAUCCUCACGUCUCUUCUCCUUGUCUGCAGACCAACAGGACGCCAUCAGGACGCCACGUCAUCAGGACACCAUCAGGACGCCACGUCAUCGGGACGCCAUCAGGAUUCCAUCAGGACGCCAUCAGGACGCCGCGUCAACCCCUCAGGAGCAAAUCCAGAUCUACUCAUGACACACACACACACACACACACACACACACACACACAGAUGUACUCAGAGACACACUAACAUUUAGACACGCUGGCAAAUUUAGAUGUACAAUUAGAUGUACACACAGACACACUAUCAUUUGGUUCUAAACAAAGACACACACUAAUAUUUAGAUGUACACAAAGACACAAUAACAAUUAGAUGUACACACAGACACACUAUCAUUUGGUUCUAAACAAUGACACACACUAAUAUUUAGAUGUACACAAAGACAUAUUAAUAUUUAGAUGUACACACAGACACACUACCAUUUGGUUCUAAACAAAGACACUAAUAUUUAAAUGUGCACAAAGACAUAUUAAUAUUUAGAUGUACACACAGACACACUAACAAUUAGAUGUACACACAGACACACUCAUUUGGUUCUAAACAAAGACACACACUAAUAUUUAGAUGUACACAAAGACACAAUAACAAUUAGAUGUACGCACAGACACACUAACAAUUCGAUCUACACACAGACACACUAACAAUUCGAUGUACACACAGACACACUAACAUUUGGUUCUAAACAAAGACACACACUAAAAUGUAGAUGUACACAAAGACACAUUAAUAUUUAGAUGUACACACAGACACACUAACAAUUAGAUGUACACACAGACACACUAACAUUUGGUUCUAAACAAAGACACACACUAAUAUUUAGAUGUACACAAAGACACAUUAAUAUUUAGAUGUACACACAGACACACUAACAAUUAGAUGUACACACAGACACACUAACAUUUGGUUCUAAACAAAGACACACACUAAUAUUUAGAUGUACACAAAGACAAUAACAAUUAGAUGUACGCACAGACACACUAACAAUUAGAUCCACACACAGACACACUAACAAUUAGAUGUACACACAGACACACUAACAUUUGGUUCUAAACAAAGACACACACUAAUAUUUAGAUGUACACAAAGACAAUAACAAUUAGAUCCACACACAGACACACUAACAAUUAGAUGUACACACAGACACACUAACAUUUGGUUCUAAACAAAGACACACACUAACAUUUAGAUCUACACACAGACACACUAACAAUUAGAUGUACACACAGACACAUCCUGAUGAUCCUCCUCACGUCUCUUCUCCUUGUCUGCAGACCAACAGGACGCCAUCAGGACGCCACGUCAUCGGGACGCCAUCAGGACACCACGUCAUCGGGAUGCCAUCAGGACACCACGUCAUCGGGACGUCAUCGGGACGCCAUCAGGACGCCUAACAAUUAGAUGUACACACAGACACACUAUCAUUUGGUUCUAAACAAUGACACACACUAAUAUUUAGAUGUACACAAAGACACAAUAACAAUUAGAUGUACACACAGACACACUAUCAUUUGGUUCUAAACAAUGACACACUAAUAUUUAGAUGUACACAAAGACACAAUAACAAUUAGAUAUACACACAGACACACUAUCAUUUGGUUCUAAACAAAGACACACACUAAUAUUUAGAUGUACACAAAGACACAAUAACAAUUAGAUGUACACACGGACACAUCCUGAUGAUCCUCCUCACGUCUCUUCUCCUUGUCUGCAGACCAACAGGACGCCAUCAGGACGCCACGUCAUCGGGACACACUAACAUUUAGAUGUACACACAGACACACUAACAUUUGGUACUAAACAAAGACACACACUAAUAUUUAGAUGUACACAAAGACAUAAUAAUAUUUAGAUGUACACACAGACACACUAACAUUUAGAUGUACACACAGACACACUAACAAUUAGAUGUACACACAGACACACUAACAACAUUAACAUGUUAAUAACUUUUCUUCUUUUCUCUCUUCUCAGGAACUGCUUCAGAUGUUUUCCCAAUGAUUGUGUUAUUAUUAUUGUUAAAUAUGUCGUCUGUUUAUUAUUUUAAUGAAAAUAAAUUUUAAUAGAAAUAAAA